CCUACGGGUGGCAGCAGUGGGGGAUAUUGCACAAUGGGGGAAACUCUGAUGCAGCGACGCCGCGUGUGGGAAGACGGUCCUCUGGAUUGUAAACCACUGUCUCCAGGGACGAAGAUGAGGGUACCUGGGGAGGAAGCUCCGGCUAACUACGUGCAAGCAGCCGCGGUAAUACGUAGGGAGCGAGGGUUGUCCGGAGUUACUGGGUGUAAAGGGAGCGUAGGCGGGGAUGAAAGUUGGGUGUCAAUACUACCGGCUCAACUGGUAGUCGCCCUCAAAACUGCAGGUCUUGAGUGAAGUAGAGGCAGGCGGAAUUCCUAGUGUAGCGGUGAAAUGCGUAGAUAUUAGGAGGAACACCAGUGGCGAAGGCGGCCUGCUGGGCUUUUACUGACGCUGAGGCUCGAAAGUGUGGGGAGCAAACAGGAUUAGAUACCCCAGUAGUC
RNAcentral lists this ribosomal RNA (440 nucleotides) under uncultured bacterium. RNAcentral describes it as "partial 16S ribosomal RNA". It matches the Rfam family "Bacterial small subunit ribosomal RNA", at positions 338 to 795 of the family's 1533-position model. The record is from RNAcentral.